AUAGAGUGUAAAGGCAUAAGGGAGCUUGACUGCGAGACCUACAAGUCGAGCAGGGUCGAAAGACGGACUUAGUGAUCCGGUGGUUCCGCAUGGAAGGGCCAUCGCUCAACGGAUAAAAGCUACCCCGGGGAUAACAGGCUUAUCUCCCCCAAGAGUUCACAUCGACGGGGAGGUUUGGCACCUCGAUGUCGGCUCAUCGCAUCCUGGGGCUGUAGUCGGUCCCAAGGGUUGGGCUGUUCGCCCAUUAAAGCGGUACGCGAGCUGGGUUCAGAACGUCGUGAGACAGUUCGGUCCCUAUCCGUCGUGGGCGUAGGAAAUUUGAGAGGAGCUGUCCUUAGUACGAGAGGACCGGGAUGGACAUACCUCUGGUGUACCAGUUGUCGUGCCAACGGCAUAGCUGGGUAGCUAUGUAUGGACGGGAUAAGUGCUGAAAGCAUCUAAGCAUGAAGCCCCCCUCGAGAUGAGAUUUCCCAACUUCGGUUAUAAGAUCCCUCGAAGAUGACGAGGUAAAUAGGUUCGAGGUGGAAGCGUAGUGAUACGUGGAGCUGACGAAUACUAAUCGAUCGAAGACUUAAUCAAAUU
Molecule: ribosomal RNA, 582 nt
Filed under: Staphylococcus coagulans
Lineage: Bacteria; Bacillati; Bacillota; Bacilli; Caryophanales; Staphylococcaceae
Description: partial 23S ribosomal RNA
Rfam family: Bacterial large subunit ribosomal RNA
Source: RNAcentral